UUACAUAACACUUCUAAUCUUGCUGACCUCCUGGACUAGCCCGUACCUGCAAACCUGGGGUUAAGGGAGUGGGGUGAGCUACUAGAGCCCAGUGAGCAGAAUAAUAAAACAUUAUAUUAAAAGUUCUGCUUUCAUGAAAUGCAUCACAUCACAAACAAAUCACGUUAAGGAUGAACUUAUCACCAAUAGUCCUCUACAUAUCCAAUAGUGCCAGGGACGUAGAAUGGGUCUUCCUGGACUUCCUCUUACAUAACAUAUCAUAACAUUCCAAUAUGCCAGGGACGUAGAAUGGGUCUUCCUGGACUUUCUCUUACAUAGUGCCAGGGACGUAGAAGGGUCUUCCUGGACUUCCAUACCAUAUCAUCAUCAUAUCAUACCAUAUCAUACGAGGACUAAUGGAUCAUUCAACAUUCAUCCACAUCAACAACAUAGUAUGCAAUGCAACAUAUUCGUGAAUUCUAAUGCAAACAACCUAAUAUAUCUCAUGGCAUUCGUGAUGCGUGAAUCAUGCUAAAAAUUUCAUUAUUUGCUUAAAACGUAAAGAGUCAUUCUACUCACCUCAGGCUAGCUCUAAAAGACACUGAAGCAGCUGACUCACUGCUGGGGUCCUCGGUUCCUCAGGUCCGAACCUACACAGGUGGACUCAAAUGAGGGACCAGACAAACAUGAACAUGACUCUAAAAUACUCCCCCAAAACCCCCUAAAACACCUUAAAAUAAUCAUGGAAAUCAUGCAAAGGAAGGCUGAACAGGGCACUUUCGGCGGCAGGUUUGGCGGCCGAAAGUCCCUCCAGAGCCGAAAGUCAUGCACAUUCGGCGGCACUUUCGGCGGCCGAAGGUUCACUCCAAAGACGAAACUCAUGCAUGAUCGGCGGCACCUUCGGCGGCCGAAACUCCUUUCCAGAGCCGAAAGUCCACUUUCGGGGGCAGGGUUCGGCAGCCAAAAGGCUUGCCUCCACAGGCAGGUUCGGCGGCCGAAAGUCUCUUCGGCUGCCGAACCUGAGUUCUUCCAAAGGGCAGAACUCAGCCUCCUAUAUGCACAGACACCUCCCAAACCAUUCAACUCAAACACAACACUUCUACAACAUGCAUACACAUAUACAUAAGCUCCUAGGGGCUUUAAACUAUCCUAAACCCCAACUACAACACAUCAAACAUACAUAAACAACCCACAUUGCUCAUAAACACAACAUAAACCUAUAAACUCAACAUUAACCUAAACUUGCAUUUCUACCCGAAAAAUCUCAUAAAACUUGUUUAAAACAUACAAGAAUGGUAGGAUCGAAGCUUACCUCUUGAAGAUCUAGGGGAGAAACGAUCCUAACUUGGAGAUGGGGAGAUCUAGCUCCUUGGGUCUCCAAGCUCCAAAACUUGCUCAAAGUUCACAAAUCUUCAAAAGCCAAGCAAACACUUGUUAAAACUUGAAAGAUUGGAGGAAAAUCAUUCAAAAACAACCAUGGGAGAGCAUGGACUCACCGUUGGCCGAAAAUGGGAAGAAAGCUCGCCCGUUUCAGCCAUGGAGCUCUUUUAUAGGGGCUGCCAGACCACCUUUCGACAGCCUAAGGUGCCUCCAAAAAUCAUGCAAGUUCGGCGGCCGAACAUGAGGUUCGGCGGCCGAACCUGAACCACUUUCGGAAGCCUAACUUGCCCCCCCUAAACUAUCCCAUGUUCGGCGGCCGAACUUGAGGUUCGGCGGCCGAACCUGGAAAUGCCUCUAUGGUCUUUUUCAUUCAAAACUCAAUUCCUUUCUUACUUAAAACCAUCAAAUACAUUAAAACAUUUUAUGAAAACAUGAUUUUACCCUUCUAGAGGUUUCUGACAUUCGAGAUUCCAUCGGACGGUAGGAAUUCUGAUACCGGAGUCUAGCCGGGUAUUACAUUCUCCCCCCCUUAAGAACAUUCGUCCCCGAAUGUUCACCAAACAAUCAUGCAAAGCAUAAAACAUUAACAUAUUUACAAAGCACAUAAAACUCACCUUAGAAGAGAUGAGGAUAUUGCUGGAGCAUGGACUCCCGUGUCUCCCAGGUACACUCUUCGAUGUUGUGGUGAUUCCAAAGGACUUUUACCAUCGGGAUUUCGUUGUUUCUCAACUUUCUGAUCUGGGUGUCUAGGAUCCGUACUGGCUGCUCAACAUAGGUGAGAUCUUCUUGGAUCUCCACAUCAGGCUCACUAAGAACCUUGCCCGGAUCUGACACAAACUUUCUUAACAUGGAAACAUGGAAAAUCGGAUGGAUUCUCUCCAUUGAAGCAGGCAAGUUCAGCUUGUACGAUACAUUCCCAAUCUUUUGCAAGACUUCAAAGGGCCCGAUGUACCGUGGAGCUAGCUUACCCUUCUUCCCAAAUCGAAUCACCCCUUUCAUUGGAGACACCUUGAGCAAUACCAAAUCCCCCUCCUGAAACUCCAUUUGCCUUCUGCGGAUGUCUGCAUAACUCUUCUGUCUGCUUGUGGCAGUCUUGAUCCUUUCUCUGAUUAUGGGCACCACUCUGCUGGUGAUCUCUACUAACUCAGGCCCUGCCAAGACCUUUUCUCCAACUUCUUCCCAAUAGACAGGCAACCUGCACUUCCUUCCAUACAAAGCUUCAUAUGGGGCCAUCCCUAUGCUAGCAUGAUGGCUGUUAUUGUAGGCAAAGUCCACCAAAGGUAGAUGAUGCCUCCAAGAACCGCCAAAAUCCAGCACACACAUUCUGAGCAUAUCCUCUAUUGUCUGGAUGGUCCUCUCUGACUGUCCGUCCGUCUGUGGAUGGAAAGCAGUGCUAAAAUCCAACCUGGUACCCAUAGCAUUCUGCAGACUCCGCCAAAACCUGGAGGUGAACUGGAGUCCUCUAGCAGACACUAUUGAAACAGGAACCCCAUGCAGCCUGACAACCUCAUCAACAUACUCCUGCGCCAACUUGUCGACAGAAUAGCCACUCCUGACAGGGAUGAAGUGAGCAGAUUUGGUCAGUCUGUCCACAAUCACCCAUAUGGAGUCCAAUCUGUUGGACGUUGUCGGUAACCCCACUACAAAGUCCAUAGCUAUAUUCUCCCAUUUCCACUCUGGAAUAGGUAGUGGGUUAAGCAUUCCAGCCGGCUUCUGAUGUUCCAGCUUCACCCUCUGACAUACUUCGCAGGCUGACACGAACUGUGCCACUUCUCUCUUCAUAGCUGGCCACCAAUAAACUCUCUUCAGAUCCUGAUACAUCUUGGUGGCUCCAGGGUGAACGCUGUAUCUGGCAUUAUGAGCCUCUCUCAUAAUGUCUCCCUUCAGACCUACGUCAUCUGGUACACACAAUCUAUUCCCAUAGUGGAGGAUCCCCUUGCUGUCAAAUCUGAACUCUUCAUUCUUGCCUGACUGAGUAGUCCUGGCAAUCUUCACUAACUCUGGGUCCUCAUGCUGUUUCUAAGCCACCUGCUCCAGAAACACAGGUGUUACUCUCAUCUGGGCUAUCAAAGCACCUGUACCAGACAACUCCAACUGCAAACCUUCAUUGAUGAGCUCGAAGAACUGCCUCACUACUGGUCUCCUCUCUGCUGAAAUGUGGGACAAACUGCCAAGUGAUUUCUGGCUUAAGGCGUCUGCCACAACAUUCGCCUUACCCGGAUGGUACCGAAUCUUGCAGUCAUAGUCACUAAGCAGUUCUACCCAUCUUCUCUGCCUCAGAUUCAACUCUCUCUGACUCAAGAUGUACUGCAGGCUUUUAUGAUCGGUGAAGAUCUCACAUUUUACUCCAUAAAGGUAAUGCCUCCACAUCUUGAGUGAAAAGAUCACCGCUGCCAUUUCUAGGUCAUGUGUAGGGUAAUUCAACUCGUGCUUCUUCAGCUGCCUAGAAGCAUAAGCAAUCACCCUUUCAUUCUGCAUCAGCACACAACCCAGUCCCACACGGGACGCAUCAUAGAAAACCGUGAAGUCUUCAUUACUAGUUGGCAGAGCUAAUAUCGGUGCCGACGUCAACCUCUUCUUUAGCUCUUCAAAGCUCUCUUCACACUGGUCGGUCCACACAAACCUCUGGUUCUUCUUAGUCAGUCUGGUCAUAGGAGCUGCAAUCUUAGAGAAAUCCUGAACGAACCUUCUGUAGUAACCUGCCAAACCCAAGAAGCUCUUGAUCUCUGUCACUGUAGUGGGUCUAGGCCAGUUAGCUACGGCUUCCACUUUCUUGGGGUCCACCUCGAUUCCAUUUUCUGACACAAUAUGCCCCAAGAAGGAAAUGCUCCUCAGCCAGAAUUCACACUUGGAGAACUUGGCAUACAAGCCGUGUUCCCUCAAGGUCUGUAGAACUAACCUCAGAUGAUGGGCAUGCUCCUCUGCAUUCCUGGAAUAUACUAAGAUAUCAUCUAUGAAGACAAUAAUGAAGUGAUCCAGGUAUUGACUGAAAACUCUGUUCAUGAGAUCCAUGAAUGCUACAGGGGCAUUGGUUAACCUGAACGACAUUACAAGGAACUCAUAGUGCCCAUAUCUGGUUCUGAACGCCGUCUUCGGCACAUCCUCUUCCCUUAUCCUCAACUAAUGGUACCCGGAUCUCAGAUCUAUCUUAGAGAAACAACCUGCUCUUGCUAGCUAGUCGAAUAGAUCGUCGAUCCUUGGCAAUGAGUACUUGUUCUUGGUAGUGACCUUGUUUAACUGUCUGUAGUCGAUACAAAGUCUAAGGGAUCCAUCUUUCUUUUUCACGAACAGCACUGGAGCACCCCAAGGUGAGGUACUCGGUCGGAUGAAGCCCUUAUCUACCAGCUCUUGCAACUGCUCCUUAAGCUCUUUCAAUUCAGCUGGUGCCAUCCUGUAGGGAGGGAUAGAGAUCGGUCUAGUUCCAGGCACCAAUUCAAUUUCGAACUCUAUCUCCCUAGCAGGUGGUAAACCUGGCAGCUCGUCUGGAAAAACAUCUAAAAACCCUCUGACCACGGGCACUGAGGCGGGCUCUCUGACAUGACUAUCCAGCUCUCUCACAUGAGCUAGAAAACCCUGACAACCCCUCCUGAGCAGCCUACCAGCCUGUAGGGCUGAUAUCAAACCUCUAGGUGUACCCCUCCUGUCUCCUCUGAAGACAACCUCUGACCCAUCCUGACAACUGAACCUGACUACCUUGUCUCUGCAGUCCAAGGUAGCACCAUGGGUAGAUAGCCAAUCCAUCCCUAGAAUGACGUCAAAAUCUGUCAAAUCUAGAACCACAAGGUCGGCAGAAAGGCAUCUCCCCUCAAUAAAAACUGGACUACACUGGCAGACUGACUUUGCCACUGACGGGUCACACUUGGGUCCACUGACCCAUAGGGGGCACUCUAACCCAGAGACCAUCAAACCCAACCUCUCAACGGCCCUCGGAGCAAUGAAAGAAUGAGAUGCACCAGGAUCUAUUAAGGCAUAAACAUCUGAACAACCAAUGAUGAGAUUACCUGACACCACGGUGUUGGAUGUAUUUGCCUCCUGCUGAGUCAUGGUGAAGAUCCGUACUGGAGCUGAUGGACCUUCACCCCUGAAACCCGCUGAAGAAGAGGCUGCCCCUCUCCCUCGGCCUCUGCCACUAGCCUGAGUCGCGGCUGGAGCUGCCGGCUGAGCCACACUACCAGAAGCUGUCUGCUGAGACGGUGCCACAAAAGCUGCUCUAGGACACUCUCGUGCCAUGUGUCCCUCCUGCCCACAUCUGAAGCAGGCUGUCAUCCCAAACCGACAUACUCCCUUGUGCGGCUUCCCACACUUCAUACAUGCUGCAUUAUCUGCACCUGAGCUCGAGCCACUUCCUAAUCCCAGACCUGAUUUGAUCUUGUUCCAGAACUUGUUCUUCUUUGACUUCUUGGUGCUAUUGCUCCACCUCUUGCUACCUAAACUCAAAGAAGAAGGGUCUAACCUUUCCCACCUGGGGUCUUGGAACUAGAAGGCUGUGCUACUGACUGUUUGACUUUUCCCUCGAUUAUUGCACUAACCUCCAUUCUCCGAGCCAUAUCCACAAUGGCAUGGAAACUCUCCCUCUCUGCUGACUGGAUCAAAGAGGAAUACCUGGAAUGAAGCUUCAUGAUAUACCUCCUUGACCUCUUCUGAUCUGCGUCCAAAUUUUGCUCGGCAAACGGCAACAGUUCCAAGAACCUGUCUGUGUACUCAUCCAUACUCAUCUCAUCUAUCUGCCUCAACUGCUCAAAUUCAAUCAUCUUUAACUCCCUUGAACUAUCAGAGAAGGCCCAUCCAGCGAACUCAUUCGCAAACUCCUCCCAUGAAAGACUAUCCACCCUCGGGUUCACAUAGUUUUUAAACCACUCACGGGCCUUCUUGCACUUCAGUGUGAACCCAGCCAUCUGAAUGGCUCUACUGUCAUCACCUCCUAUCUCAUCUGUAAUCAUCUUGACCCUCUCAAGGUACACAAACGAGUCAUCACCUGUCUCAAACUGGGGAGCACCCAGCUUCAUGUAAUCGGUCAUCUUGACCUUGCUCCCUCCAGAUGAGCUAGGCUUAGGCAUUUGGGUUUCUGGGACAGUAGGUUCUGCUGGUGGUGGAGGAGGUGCAGCAUCCCCUGGUGUAGGGUUUGUUGGACCUGGAUAAAAGGAUGGGGGUGGAUACAUAGGGUACUGUGAAUAUGGUAGGUAGAAAGGUGGGUAUGGCAUGUGAGAGUGAUAAGGGUUAAAGCUGGGGUAAUCCGAUGUACCUCCCAUCGAAUACCCGGGGUUCUGUGAAAAGGGUGGGUACUGGGGUGGCUGAACAAAUCCCGAGGCCUGAGUGCCUCCUUGAGACUCUCCCAUACCCUCUUCAGACAUACUCACUCCAAGACUGCCAUCCCUCCUCUGGUCCACAUCCAUAUCAUUCCCCACAUCUUCUGACAUUUCACCUUGCACUGUUCCUCUUCUGCUCACAUCAAAAGACCUUCUAGGGUCCCUUGAUGUUCUCUCCCUGUUAGACCUGCAGGACAUUGCCCUAGGCAAUGCAGGAGGACGAGCAUCCGUGCCCUCGUCCUGGGGUGGUACUCCAGUCAAUCGUGCAGAUCGACGAGUUUCUCUCAUCUUGCUUACUGAAAAACAACACACAACACAUAGAACAUUAGCAUCAAAUGGUUUAUGUGCAAACACAUGAACCCGCAUCACAUACAUCACAUACAUAGCAUAUCAUCAAUGCACAUGCAUAAAAUCAUAGUAUUUCACAUCAUCAUUCAAGACAGGACUCUACAUCCUAUCCUAGUGGACAUGAUUUUUUCUAUUGUGCUUGACCUUCUGGAACAUCUAUGAGGCCGACACUCUAGGUCCGACCAUAUGAACCUAGGGCUCUGAUACCAAUCUGUAAUGAUCCAAAAAUCGGACCGCUACCGGCGCUAGGAUCUAGAUCGGCUUAUGGCCGCCGAGACCCGUAGCAAGCCUAACAUACAACUUGUAUACCUAUAUAAUCCCAUACAUGAUCAACAAUUACAUAAAAAUUUUGAACUUUCCCAUUCAUUUACCAAACUUAACAUGUGCAUGCACAACUCAUAAUCAUAAUCCCCACACUGGAGUCCUCAUCAAAUGCUCCAAUGGGGUAACAUCACAUAUAUUAAGUUUGGUUUCCAUAAAACAUCAUCAACCCAUUACAUUUGAAAGAUCAUGUAACCAAAGGGAUUAACAUACAAACUAGGGUCAAGCACGAUUCUAUCUUCAAUACAAUUCUUAACAUUUCAUGACUAUUCAAUACAUUACAUUACAAUAUUCUCAUGUCCAUAACUAUUUAUUACAUAACACUUCUAAUCUUGCUGACCUCCUGGACUAGCCCGUACCUGCAAACCUGGGGUUAAGGGAGUGGGGUAAGCUACUAGAGCCCAGUGAGCAGAAUAAUAAAACAUUAUAUUAAAAGUUCAUGCUUUCAUGAAAUGCAUCACAUCACAAACAAAUCACGUUAAGGAUGAACUUGUCACCAAUAGUCCUCUACAUAUCCAAUAGUUCCAGGGACGU
This 7868-nucleotide long non-coding RNA is filed under the name Manihot esculenta (cassava). Its description in RNAcentral is "long non-coding RNA (MESC_LNC007978)". Lineage: Eukaryota; Viridiplantae; Streptophyta; Magnoliopsida; Malpighiales; Euphorbiaceae. The record is from RNAcentral.